AUUGAACGCUGGCGGCAUGCCUUACACAUGCAAGUCGAACGGCAGCACGGGUGCUUGCCCCUGGUGGCGAGUGGCGAACGGGUGUGUAAUACAUCGGAACAUGUCCUGGAGUGGGGGAUAGCCCGGCGAAAGCCGGAUUAAUACCGCAUACGAUCUACGGAUGAAAGCGGGGGACCUUCGGGCCUCGCGCUAUAGGGUUGGCCGAUGGCUGAUUAGCUAGUUGGUGGGGUAAAGGCCUACCAAGGCGACGAUCAGUAGCUGGUCUGAGAGGACGACCAGCCACACUGGGACUGAGACACGGCCCAGACUCCUACGGGAGGCAGCAGUGGGGAAUUUUGGACAAUGGGCGAAAGCCUGAUCCAGCAAUGCCGCGUGUGUGAAGAAGGCCUUCGGGUUGUAAAGCACUUUUGUCCGGAAAGAAAUCCUUGGCCCUAAUACGGUCGGGGGAUGACGGUACCGGAAGAAUAAGCACCGGCUAACUACGUG
This 486-nucleotide ribosomal RNA is filed under the name uncultured bacterium. RNAcentral describes it as "partial 16S ribosomal RNA". It matches the Rfam family "Bacterial small subunit ribosomal RNA", at positions 30 to 507 of the family's 1533-position model. The record is from RNAcentral.